Molecule: unclassified non-coding RNA, 21 nt
Filed under: Mus musculus (house mouse)
Lineage: Eukaryota; Metazoa; Chordata; Mammalia; Rodentia; Muridae
Description: oocyte_clustered_small_RNA8362
Source: RNAcentral
UGUUCUGAACAGUGGAAGUGG